This is a long non-coding RNA of Columba livia (rock pigeon), 363 nucleotides long. RefSeq lists it as uncharacterized. NCBI's taxonomy places the organism in Eukaryota, Metazoa, Chordata, Aves, Columbiformes, Columbidae. The record is from RefSeq and is a predicted model, not a curated record. The transcript is spliced from 3 exons.
AUCAAUUCCAGAACAAGACAAGACCAAAAUCCCAAUGUGGCUGUGGUUUGGUCUGUAUGGUCGUAACUGUGCACACCAGAGCGAGCGCAAUGUGGGGAGGGACACAUGGCAACACAAGCUGGUGGCAGCGAAAAGGUUGAGAGGCUUCAGUCAUCAGCAACUGACAGCAAAACAGAACCUUGGUCAGUAACAGACAUGGAACUUAUGAGCACAUCCAGCUGGCCAAGGCAAUUAAUGGUGCUAUCACAAGGUUUGGGAACCUCUGGUCCGGACAAAACAACCACCUGGCUUGGAGAUGAGUUAUUUCCUCCUAAGAGCAGCCACUGUAAUGGCUGGGAAGCGGAAGAGAGAUUUAUUUCAUUC